Molecule: transfer RNA, 72 nt
Filed under: Camelus bactrianus (Bactrian camel)
Lineage: Eukaryota; Metazoa; Chordata; Mammalia; Artiodactyla; Camelidae
Also listed under: 1 other name
Rfam family: tRNA
About the family: Transfer RNA (tRNA) molecules are approximately 80 nucleotides in length. Their secondary structure includes four short double-helical elements and three loops (D, anti-codon, and T loops). Further hydrogen bonds mediate the characteristic L-shaped molecular structure. tRNAs have two regions of fundamental functional importance: the anti-codon, which is responsible for specific mRNA codon recognition, and the 3' end, to which the tRNAs corresponding amino acid is attached (by aminoacyl-tRNA synthetases). tRNAs cope with the degeneracy of the genetic code in two manners: having more than one tRNA (with a specific anti-codon) for a particular amino acid; and 'wobble' base-pairing, i.e. permitting non-standard base-pairing at the 3rd anti-codon position.
Source: Rfam by way of RNAcentral
GAGGGUAUAGCUCAGCGGUAGAGCUCAUGCCUGGCAUCCACGAGGUCCUGAGUUUAGUACCCAGUACCUCUA